UUGCAUGCCUGGGUUUGCCCCCAACCCUGGGAAAGGGCCCAGCACCCCGAGAGGUUUUCUCUGAGCUGGGUACAGCAGGCUCUGCUUUGCAACCAGGAGCUCCAAGUAGCAGCUGGCACAGAAAGGAGAGACGGCCGCAGUCACAGCCCACCCAAGGCAGAGUGGGAUGUUGAAUUUUAAGCCCUGGAUAAGGUGGCCUGUUAGGUGUACGCUCUUGGGAUGCCUGUCUGUAAAAGACCCGGAGGAAAGAGAGCGGAGGAGAAGACGGCCAAGGCUGCCUGUGUUGGAACCGGCAUGCGGAGUCAUCUCGCAGGGGCUCAAACCGCAAGUUUGGCUGGCUGAUUGGGCAUUAAGUCAGCCUUUGUUUUUGCUCCCAAGCAACACAGCCUACCAGCCUGGAGCGCCCUGCACAUUCCUAGUGAGGUUUUGUAUCGGGGCCAAGACGAGUUUCAUCAGUGCAGAUAAACAAAGUUCGCUGCUUGUGAUUUGCUGGCGCAAACACGCCUGCCUGUGGUUCCCAGAGCCCCGGUCUGGGACUGGCUCUUCGUGGCCAUCUUCUGGGCUGGUGCUGGGGGAGACUGGCGCACAUACCAGAUGCUGAAACUUGCCCAGCUUUCGAGUUCCUGUCAGCUACACCUUGAGGAGUCUCGCCGCCUGCCCCAGCUGCCUUCCCUGGGCACCCCGUGGAGAGACCUUGCUCAGUCCCGCUGUCCCACAGCUUCAGAUGACUCGUCUCCACUCACAGUUCAACUGGACUCUGCCCUCUGGUGUCUGAAGUUUCCAGCUCCGCUCUGCUCCCGGGGCUUCAUUUAGCAGUCGUCCACGUGUAACUAGUCCCCCAGGGUCAGCCUUCAGCGUGUGGUCUCAUCUUAGCCCUCGGUCCUUCCUGGCCUGGGGGGAGGGCAGAGGGGCCGCUCUGUGACCUUCCUCCUUCGCCCCCAUCCUCUUCCUCCUCCCCGUGUAACCUGAUCCUCCCUGCUGCCAGGGACAUCCUUCCUGUCAGACUCUGAAACACCUGAAUGGCUUCUAAGGACUUUAGGAAUAAAGUAUAAACUCCUCAAUAUGGACAAGUCAGAGAGAAGAGGGGGAAGGGAGGGAGGGCAGCAGGGGAGAAGGGCAGAAGGGAGGGAGGGAGAGACAGAGACAGACAGAGAGACAGAGAGACAGAGAGACAGAGAAGCAUCCACACCCUCCCCCUGACCGUCUGCAGCCUCCCUUCCCCCUCUUCCAAGCUGAUGUCCGCCUAGACACCACUGUCUUGCUGAGCACCAGGUUGUCCAGCACCGCAGUUCUGGGUGAGGUGGCCCCUCCGCGCCCCUCCUCAUCUCCUCCCACAGCUGUCUCGUGUGUCUGUCCGCUGCCCACGUGGCUCUGCGGCACGAGGGGCAGGGUCUUCCUCUCCCCUCCUGCUCGAGCCUCCUGCAUCUCCACCCAGCCUCCGCACAGCUCAUGCCCUGUGUUCUCUCUCAGAACGUGAAGAGGCGCCUUAAACCUCUUCUUUCCCCUCGCCGUGGUCCCAAGCCCGUGACGCCUCCCUUCGAAGACCUUUUGGGCUUGUUUCUGGCAGACUCCAGCUUAUCGCCACAUCCCCAGUGCCCGGCUGAGGGCUGACUCUCGGAGGGUGCUCAGGCCACUCACUCGCGGCUGUGCACACAGCUGGAGCGAACUCACGCACCGUGACUUCUAAUGGCCUUGGUGCCCCUGGCGCCUCGUGGCUCUGGAGCGUGGGGUUGUUUACAGACGUGCUGUUAACUGCCAAGAGCAGAUCUGAGCAUUUUCCACGGUGGCUGGAGCCGGGUUUAUAUGUGUGCUGGCACCUGCACCCCUCUUGCGUGUUUUCAUUUCUUCUGAAGUUCCACCCCCUGUAAAAACAGGCCCGCAUGACUGUGUGUAUCCAGCAGGGCCUGCACAUGUCUCACACAUCUGUACUGUGUCCAGCUUAGCUCCCGGAACACCUCUGAGCUGGCCAGGGCAGACUGAAGCGCAGUGACGACAAACCCAGAGAGGUUCUCCACAUUUAUGCAAAGGACAGUCUUCAUUUAAUAUCUCAGGUCAGAUGUCUUCUUCGCCUAGGAACCAACACCUGGGAAUGAGAUCGACUACACUGUGUACUCACAUUGUUUUCCCCAGAGGAAACUGCAGUAUCUGAUGCCCUUGUGUGCAACAUCAAGUGACCCUUAAGUCAGCCUCUUAAGAGGUAGAAGAGGAUGCAGAAAUUGCAGCCAGCUCUUGACUGUUGACCUUCUGCAUUUCCCUGUUCUCUGGAAAUGUCGAGCAGACUGAAGAAGGAAGAGGCGUCAAACUCACAUCUGCCAACUUAUCAGGCCCUCUGGAAGAACACUUUGUGGGGGAGAGGCUGGAAUAGUGGCUAGCACGAAGCUUUUAGUGUGGCCCUUGUGUUUCACUCUUCCUGAGCCAUUCAUAGCCCAUGUGUCAGAAAACAGGAAGCUAGGUGCCAUUCUGAUAUCCUAAUUCUAGAAAUUCUGAAGAGUUCUGAGGCCAGAACAUGAGGACAUUAUGAAGGAUGUUAGAAAUUUUUAAAAAGUUUUCCCAUUACUUACGAAUUUGUCACUUUCCAUCCGUGGGACAAAAUACCCAGCACUUGCAAUUUAAAGGAGCAGAGGUUCAGUCUAGCUUGUGGUACAAGGGUGUUCAGUCCAUGGUUGCUGCCUCCCGGCAGAAACAGCACGGCAGAAGGAUGCAGUGGAGGAAACCUGCUCAGUUCUGGGUGCCCACAAAGCAGAGCAAGAAGGGCAGAGCCAGGGCAAGAAUACACCCUGCCAGGGCCCACCCAGCCACCCACCCCCAGCCAUGUACCCUCCCAACAACAAUUGUAAGCUUGUCAGUAGGUUAAUAGGUUAGCCCACUGAGGAGUAUGGAAUCCCCAUGGGGCAAGCUUGGUACAGAAGUGCUACCUCUGAACGCGUGAGACCUCGGGGGACACCUUAGAUCUAACCCACAAUGGUAUGUUUUCAUGCACCCUGAUUUCCACAAGCUUGUUAUUGUGCUAUUUACUCUGGAAGAUGAUCAUCUCCAGCAAGAUCUGCAACUGUUUGAGGGGAAUACUGAUAUACGAACAGCACAAGGGCCAAUCAAAAAAUAUGGUGUGUAUUUAAAUUUAAAAAUGUAUUAUAGUAAAAGACACAUUGCCAUUAACCUCCUUGAA
RNA transcript from Chinchilla lanigera (long-tailed chinchilla), 3166 nucleotides. RefSeq lists it as uncharacterized. The record is from RefSeq and is a predicted model, not a curated record. The transcript is spliced from 4 exons. Lineage: Eukaryota; Metazoa; Chordata; Mammalia; Rodentia; Chinchillidae.